This 910-nucleotide ribosomal RNA is filed under the name Erysiphe pedaliacearum. Its description in RNAcentral is "Pseudoidium pedaliacearum partial 28S ribosomal RNA". It matches the Rfam family "Eukaryotic large subunit ribosomal RNA", at positions 1 to 923 of the family's 3401-position model. Lineage: Eukaryota; Fungi; Ascomycota; Leotiomycetes; Helotiales; Erysiphaceae. The record is from RNAcentral.
UUGACCUCGAAUCAGGUAGGAAUACCCGCUGAACUUAAGCAUAUCAAUAAGCGGAGGAAAAGAAACCAACCGGGAUUACCUCAGUAACGGCGAGUGAAGCGGUAACAGCUCAAAUUUGAAAUCUGGCUCCUUCGGAGUCCGAGUUGUAAUUUGUAGAAGAUGCUUUGGGUUGUGGGCUCGGCCUAAGUUCCUUGGAACAGGACGUCAUAGAGGGUGAGAAUCCCGUAUGUGGCCAUGGCCCGCGCCUAUGGUAAAGCUCUUUCGACGAGUCGAGUUGUUUGGGAAUGCAGCUCAAAAUGGGUGGUAAAUUUCAUCUAAAGCUAAAUAUGGGCCAGAGACCGAUAGCGCACAAGUAGAGUGAUCGAAAGAUGAAAAGCACUUUGGAAAGAGAGUUAAACAGUACGUGAAAUUGUUGAAAGGGAAGCGCUUGCAACCAGACUUGGGCGCUGCCGAUCACCCCGAGUUCUCUCGGGUGCACUCGACAGCGCACAGGCCAGCAUCGGUUCGGGUGGCUGGAUAAAGGCCGUAGGAAUGUAGCUCUCUUCGGGGAGUGUUAUAGCCCACGGUGCCAUGCAGCCCAGCCGGACCGAGGACCGCGCCUUCGGGCUAGGAUGCUGGCGUAAUGGUUGUAAGCGACCCGUCUUGAAACACGGACCAAGGAGUCUAACAUCUAUGCGAGUGUUUGGGCGUUAAACCCAUACGCGGAAUGAAAGUGAACGUAGGUGAGAACCCCUUUGGGGCGCAUCAUCGACCGAUCCUGAUGUCUUCGGAUGGAUUUGAGUAAGAGCAUAGCUGUUGGGACCCGAAAGAUGGUGAACUAUGCCUGAAUAGGGUGAAGCCAGAGGAAACUCUGGUGGAGGCUCGCAGCGGUUCUGACGUGCAAAUCGAUCGUCAAAUUUGGGCAUAGGGG